Long non-coding RNA from Vigna angularis (adzuki bean), 582 nucleotides. RefSeq lists it as uncharacterized. NCBI's taxonomy places the organism in Eukaryota, Viridiplantae, Streptophyta, Magnoliopsida, Fabales, Fabaceae. The record is from RefSeq and is a predicted model, not a curated record. The transcript is spliced from 2 exons.
CAGCUUUCUUUCUCUCUUUAAAACUCUUGCCCUAAAAUUCUUUCUGCCUUCUGUCUAGAUUUUCUCUUCACUGAACCGAUCAAAUUUUGAUUUGAAAGUGUUUUUGCGCUCGCUGCAUCAAGGGCUUCAGUUUGAACCGAACGUUUUUCCAUUUCGACCAGUAAGUGUUUUUUUCCCUUUUCUUCAACCGUUCUUGAACCUAAGCCAUGCAACUUGCUGGUUGCCUGGUAGCUUUUCCUUUAGUUUCUCUGUCCCUUCCAACUCUAAGAAAUGUGCUCUGCACCAAUUUUUGGUGGCUUAUAAGUGCUGUCAAACUCGCCUCUGUGAGGAGGUACUGCUAGAGCGUUCCUAGGAGUGGUACUGUUAAGCUUUCCAGAGGAAGAUGAGGUUUCUUUGGAGGCAACAUUGGAGAGAAAUGAAGAUGAUGCUGCAGCUUAGACUCACUAGGAAUUCUUAGUUCUCUUAUGUCAUUUUGAAGAACCUUGUUAUGUUUUAAGUUUCAAAUUUUGGACAUAUUUUGGAAUACUCUAAUGUUUGAAGUUUUAAUUUCUUAAUAAAUUCUGAAAGACUGUAAUCCUAUAA